RNAcentral lists this ribosomal RNA (429 nucleotides) under Gemmatimonadota bacterium. Its description in RNAcentral is "Gemmatimonadetes bacterium partial 16S ribosomal RNA". It matches the Rfam family "Bacterial small subunit ribosomal RNA", at positions 355 to 776 of the family's 1533-position model. The record is from RNAcentral. Lineage: Bacteria; Pseudomonadati; Gemmatimonadota.
UAGGGAAUCUUCGGCAAUGGACGAAAGUCUGACCGAGCAACGCCGCGUGAGUGAAGAAGGUUUUCGGAUCGUAAAACUCUGUUGUUAGAGAAGAACAAGGACGUUAGUAACUGAACGUCCCCUGACGGUAUCUAACCAGAAAGCCACGGCUAACUACGUGCCAGCAGCCGCGGUAAUACGUAGGUGGCAAGCGUUGUCCGGAUUUAUUGGGCGUAAAGCGAGCGCAGGCGGUUUCUUAAGUCUGAUGUGAAAGCCCCCGGCUCAACCGGGGAGGGUCAUUGGAAACUGGGAGUCUUGAGUGCAGAAGAGGAGAGUGGAAUUCCAUGUGUAGCGGUGAAAUGCGUAGAUAUAUGGAGGAACCCCAGUGGCGAAGGCGGCUCUCUGGUCUGUAACUGACGCUGAGGCUCGAAAGCGUGGGGAGCAAACAGG